UCUUGCAGGAGUUACUACAGAUGUACUCAUAGUAAUUGUCGGGUCAAGAAAAGGGUUGAAAGGUUGUCAGAGGAUCGUCGGAUGGUAAUAACAACCUAUGAAGGUAGACAUAACCAUUCUCCUUGCGAUGAUUCAAAUUCCUCCGAUCACGAGUGUUUCACCUCAUUCUAGAGCAUAGAUGUUAAAAGUAUUUAUACCAUGUUCUGUUAAAUUAUAUAUGGGUGAGUUUGCUUGAAUUAUUAUGUAUUUAGUGUUUAUUCAUUUUCUUGAUAUCAUUGCAUGCGUAAAUUAAAACAAAAUAUGUUGGAUUUGUAGUUUUAUCUACUGAAUCUCCUUGUGUGCUUUACAUUAGUUCGUUUAUGG
Molecule: long non-coding RNA, 363 nt
Filed under: Olea europaea subsp. europaea
Lineage: Eukaryota; Viridiplantae; Streptophyta; Magnoliopsida; Lamiales; Oleaceae
Source: RNAcentral